GAUGAACGCUGACAGAAUGCUUAACACAUGCAAGUCUACUUGAACUUCGGUUUGGGUGGCGGACGGGUGAGUAACGCGUAAAGAACUUGCCUCACAGUUAGGGACAACAUUUGGAAACGAAUGCUAAUACCUGAUAUUAUGAUUUUAGGGCAUCCUAGGAUUAUGAAAGCUAUAUGUGCUGUGAGAGAGCUUUGCGUCCCAUUAGCUAGUUGGAGAGGUAACGGCUCACCAAGGCGAUGAUGGGUAGCCGGCCUGAGAGGGUGAACGGCCACAAGGGGACUGAGACAACGCCCAUACCCCCACGGGAGGCAGCAGGUGGGAAUAUUUGACAAUGGACCAAAAGUCUGAUCCAGCAAUUCUGUGUGCACGAUGACGUUUUUCGGAAUGUAAAGUUCUUUCAGUUUGGAAGAAAAAAAUGACGGUACCAACAGAAGAAGUGACGGCUAAAUACGUG
RNAcentral lists this ribosomal RNA (454 nucleotides) under uncultured bacterium. Its description in RNAcentral is "partial 16S ribosomal RNA". It matches the Rfam family "Bacterial small subunit ribosomal RNA", at positions 28 to 507 of the family's 1533-position model. The record is from RNAcentral.